This 69-nucleotide transfer RNA is filed under the name Marmota monax (woodchuck). It matches the Rfam family "tRNA". Rfam says of the family: Transfer RNA (tRNA) molecules are approximately 80 nucleotides in length. The record is from Rfam by way of RNAcentral. Lineage: Eukaryota; Metazoa; Chordata; Mammalia; Rodentia; Sciuridae.
GGAAUUGUGGCUCAGUGGUAGAGCACUUGCAUUGUAUGUAUGAGGCAUUGUGUUCAAUUCUCAGCACCA